This 223-nucleotide long non-coding RNA is filed under the name Lathyrus oleraceus (garden pea). RNAcentral describes it as "Pisum sativum (pea) long non-coding RNA (PSAT_LNC031047)". Lineage: Eukaryota; Viridiplantae; Streptophyta; Magnoliopsida; Fabales; Fabaceae. The record is from RNAcentral.
GACUUAUUUAUGUUUACUGUUUUGAGUUUAUUUUUUUGCGGUGUCACUCUGAUAGUGUAACAUCGAGACAUAUUUUUUUAUUUUUUAUUUUUUGAGAUAUAUGGAUUUAUUUAAAUAUGUUGAGAUGUUUUUAGUUGAGAUGAAAUGACUUGAAUUUCUGAUGCGUUGUUAUAAAGUAUUAUUUUAGAAGCAUGCUUAUUUGAGGAGGAUGUGUGACAUCAUU